This 733-nucleotide ribosomal RNA is filed under the name uncultured bacterium. Its description in RNAcentral is "bacterial SSU rRNA". It matches the Rfam family "Bacterial small subunit ribosomal RNA", at positions 53 to 784 of the family's 1533-position model. The record is from RNAcentral.
CCAUGCAAGUCGAGCGGGGUUGGCAGCAGUUAGCUUGCUAACAGCAGUCAACCCAGCGGCGGACGGGUGAGUAACGCGUGAGCAACCAACCUUGUACAGGGGGAUAACAGGUGGAAACACCUGCUAAUACCGCAUAAGACCCCGGCACUGCAUGGUGCUGAGGUAAAAGGAGGAAACUCCGGUACGAGACGGGCUCGCGUCCCAUUAGCUGGUUGGUGGGGUGACGGCCUACCAAGGCGACGAUGGGUAGCCGGCCUGAGAGGGUGUACGGCCACACUGGGACUGAGACACGGCCCAGACUCCUACGGGAGGCAGCAGUGGGGGAUAUUGCGCAAUGGGGGGAACCCUGACGCAGCGACGCCGCGUGAGCGAAGAAGGCCUUCGGGUCGUAAAGCUCUGUCUUUGGGGAAGAAUAAGAUGACGGUACCCAAGGAGGAAGCCCCGGCUAACUACGUGCCAGCAGCCGCGGUAACACGUAGGGGGCGAGCGUUGUCCGGAAUUACUGGGCGUAAAGGGUGCGUAGGCGGCCUUAUAAGUCAUGUGUGAAAAACCCGGGCUCAACCCGGGUAUUGCAAGUGAAACUAUAGGGCUUGAGUGCAGGAGAGGGAAGUGGAAUUCCUAGUGUAGCGGUGAAAUGCGUAGAGAUUAGGAGGAACACCAGUGGCGAAGGCGGCUUCCUGGACUGCAACUGACGCUGAGGCACGAAAGCGUGGGGAGCAAACAGGAUUAGAUA